RNAcentral lists this ribosomal RNA (253 nucleotides) under uncultured microorganism. Its description in RNAcentral is "partial 16S ribosomal RNA". It matches the Rfam family "Bacterial small subunit ribosomal RNA", at positions 524 to 776 of the family's 1533-position model. The record is from RNAcentral.
UACGUAGGGUGCGAGCGUUAAUCGGAUCUACUGGGCGUAAAGCGUGCGCAGGCGGCCCGUUAAGACAGGUGUGAAAUCCCUGGGCUCAACCUAGGAAUUGCGCUUGUGACUGGCGGGCUCGAGUACGGUAGAGGGGGGUGGAAUUCCUGGUGUAGCAGUGAAAUGCGUAGAGAUCAGGAGGAACACCGAUGGCGAAGGCAGCCCCCUGGGCCUGUACUGACGCUCAUGCACGAAAGCGUGGGGAGCAAACAGG